Molecule: ribosomal RNA, 105 nt
Filed under: Pseudomonas asiatica
Lineage: Bacteria; Pseudomonadati; Pseudomonadota; Gammaproteobacteria; Pseudomonadales; Pseudomonadaceae
Description: partial 23S ribosomal RNA
Rfam family: Bacterial large subunit ribosomal RNA
Source: RNAcentral
GGUCAAGUGAAGAAGCGCAUACGGUGGAUGCCUUGGCAGUCAGAGGCGAUGAAAGACGUGGUAGCCUGCGAUAAGCUUUGGGGAGUCGGCAAACAGACUGUGAUC